GGGGAGGUGGUCGAGUGGUUUAUGGCUCCAGUCUUGAAAACUGGCUUAGGGAAACCUAACGUGGGUUCGAAUCCCACCCUCUCCGCCA
RNAcentral lists this transfer RNA (88 nucleotides) under Verrucomicrobiales bacterium. Its description in RNAcentral is "tRNA-Ser". It matches the Rfam family "tRNA". Rfam says of the family: Transfer RNA (tRNA) molecules are approximately 80 nucleotides in length. Their secondary structure includes four short double-helical elements and three loops (D, anti-codon, and T loops). Lineage: Bacteria; Pseudomonadati; Verrucomicrobiota; Verrucomicrobiia; Verrucomicrobiales. The record is from RNAcentral.